Molecule: long non-coding RNA, 766 nt
Organism: Ictalurus punctatus (channel catfish)
Lineage: Eukaryota; Metazoa; Chordata; Actinopteri; Siluriformes; Ictaluridae
Source: Ensembl
GGUUAGUCCUAGUCUUUAAGGUCAUCACUAUUGGCAGGUCCCAAUCUUUAAGGUUCUCUCUCUUGGUUAUUCCCAAUAUUUAUGCUUCUAUGCAGUGAGUAGUCUGCAUUUUUAAUUUUCUCACUCUUGGCUACUCCAAGUCUUAAAAGUUCUUACUUUUACUUAGUUCCAGUUUUUAAGGUUUUCCCUCUUAUUUAGCUCCAGUAUUUAAUGUUCUGCCUCUUGGUUAGCCUCUGUAGUUAAGGUUCUAUUUAUUGUCCAUUAACCUUUUAAGUAUUUUGUAGUCUGAGUUUUAAGGUUCUGACUCUUGGUUAGUGCAAAUCUUAAAAUUUUACAUCUUGGCUAAUCCCAGUGUUUAACAUUGUAAACCUUGUGUAGUUCAAGUUUUUAAGCUUCUUCUCUUGGUUAGUUUCAGUCUUUAAUGCUCUCUCUCUCUUGAUUAGUCCUAGUUACUAAGGUUCUCCUUCUUGGUUAGUCCUUGAUAUUAAGGUUCUCCUUCUUGGUUAGUCCUUGAUAUAAGGUUCUCCUUCUUGGUUAGUCAUUGAUAUUAAGGUUCUCCUUCUUGGUUAGUCCUUGAUAUUAAGUUCCUCCUCCUUGAUUAGUCCUAAUUAUUAAAGUUCUCCCUCUUGGUUAGUCCCAGUUUUGAAGAUGUUCACUCUUGGUAUUAUGGUUCAUACGGUUCAUUCAUACUGGAACACCAAUGUUCUGUUAUCACGAAAGGAAAUACACGAGCGGACUGCUGCACAAAGACAGAAUUUUGUCAAUA